GCUGACACAUCCCGGCCAAUCUCCAGCAGACCCUCCCUCCCAGACCCUCCCACCUCCUGGACAGCAUCAAUGUUGAAGCUGCCUUCAACAUGGAUGCUGUCCAGGAAGUAGGAGGGUCUGGGAGGGAGGGUCUGCUGGAGAUUGGCCGGGAUGUGUCAG
Molecule: microRNA precursor, 159 nt
Filed under: Pelobates cultripes (western spadefoot toad)
Lineage: Eukaryota; Metazoa; Chordata; Amphibia; Anura; Pelobatidae
Source: RNAcentral